Long non-coding RNA from Dermochelys coriacea (leatherback sea turtle), 2753 nucleotides. RefSeq lists it as uncharacterized. The record is from RefSeq and is a predicted model, not a curated record. The transcript has 4 exons. Lineage: Eukaryota; Metazoa; Chordata; Testudines; Dermochelyidae.
ACUGGGAAAAGGCAUUCCCAGGGGACAGUGAGUGGAGAUUGUAGUUAUUCUUUGGGAAAAGGGAUCCUGAGAUUACGAGGAUAACAUAUGCAACAACACUAUAAGAACAAGGAUUUUUCUUGCUAGAGAAAAGGUGUUUAAGAGAGGAUACGUUAGAAGCCUUCAGGAUAUACAAGGGAUACCAUGAGAACAUGUGGAUAAGAUAUUUGAACGGAAGCGGUGAUAAACCAAAGGACUCAGGAAGAAAGUGGUCAGAGACAUGGCCUAAAAAUAAACCUAAGUUUUACUUGAUCUUACAAAAGAUCUACACCAGAUGAAGAUGUGAUUCCUACCAUCACAGAUAAUUGCCUUUUCAGCAAGAUGGCUGCCACUAGAAACCAGCUCAGAAAUGCCAGCUGUAAUUUAAAAUUAAAUUACAGUGGAUAUAGAAUCUCGUAGAGGGUUUCACAACAUUAGAUGUUCGAUCCCCUGGAAUACACUGGCUUUUCCUUCAAUUCACUUGAGAAUCCCACUGUGUGAAGUCUACCUGCACAUUCACAUCCAUAUACCAUGUUGUCCAUUACUAUUUGUAUUGAACUUAUUUAUGCCUUUAAAUUAUAACUCUUUGCUGGGGGAAAUUUUUUGCUGUUGCAUACACAGUGCCUUACAUCUCUUAAUAUAUACCUAUGGCUCUCCUUUAAGUUUAAGGAAUAGAAAUCUUUGUUUUAGCUGCUGAUGGACCAGGGAUCUAGUUCCAGUGUUGUGUGAAUGUGAUUGCAUCUAUUGUCUGAAAACAGAUUCUUUACUCCGGAUUUCUAUGCAGAUCUACCAAUGCUCUUCAAUUCUGAACUAUAGCAUCCUUUGCUAUUCCAGUCCCACCUCCAUAUUCUUAUUCUACAGCAUUCUGUAAUGUACCCUAGCUUCAACCCCAACCAGUUCAUCCAAAAUACUGCUGCCAAAACAACUUUUUCCAUUGUGUCACUCCCCUCUGAGAGACAUCACGGGAUACCCACUGCACAUUAAAUUCUAACUUCUAGUCUUCAAGGAUAUGGCACAAUGCCUAACUACAUUUAUGAUUUGUGGGUCUUUUGCACAUCACUCCCACAAUAACUGAUUUCAGCCUUGAUAUCCCUUUUCUUACAAAGGUCUUUGUCUUCUUUCAGGUUGUCUCUUGUGCCCAAAUACUGCCCUCCAAACCUGUUGGCUAAGUUACCUCCCUCAUUUCAUUUCAAUUUCUCCUAAAAAAUCACUUCAUCCAUUUUGCCUAUGAUGGAUGAGGGGGAGGAAAGGUAAACAAAAACCAACAGAACGAUUAAGAUGUGUAUUUGCCUGACUUCUUCUUAGCGGAUGCGCAAUGUGCCUCAUGUGACCAGGAUUCAUCACUGAAUCUGGUCUGCUAGUUGGAUCAUUAGCACCCCCAGCUUGGGCCAGGUACUGAUAGGGAGUGCAAUGUGAACACUGAUCUAUGCCCCCCCCCCGUGCCUGACGGAAUAGCCAUAUCAUAUAAUUCUCAUUCUUGUCCUUCCCUCCCCUCCUCUCUUAUUACCCUGUUUCCUGUUGACCAGGGACAAUGUCUUUACUUGCUUUGUAAGGCAGACAGCACACUUCAGGGCAAUUGGAAAAUACAAAGUUAUUUUUAAACAGAGAAGUAAUGUGAUGUAGUGGAACAAUCACAAAGCAAAGAGCCAGAUAUUCCUUAUUUCUAACCCUGGCUCUGUUGCUGACUUGGCAUGUGACAUUUGGCAAAUCAUUUGGGGCCUAAUCAUGUGAUUGUUGAACAUCUUCAAUUCCAGGCUUUGCAAAACUAGGCUCUUAGCUUUCUGGUGUGCAGAAGCAGCACCAGCAAGGGGAAGAGGACAUAUGCAACAUCAUUAACAGGGCAAGACAGCAAAACAGAGCACCCCUAAGGACUUAUUGUGAGAGAAAGGGAUGUCUCAAGAGAUAUAUCUUGUGACUUCACAUGCUUUAGUAAAAGGAACAGGGAUUGUCAGAGUACAGUGCUUUCAAGUCACACCCCCAAUGCAUCCUACUGGAUUCUACCAAAGGAUGCAAGAAGAGGUUAAAAUGAGAUCAACACCUAUAUAUCCCAUAGGGAGAUGGUAAUAAUUUCAUUAAACAUCACAAGGCUUUGAAAAUGUAAUACUAUAAGUUUUUUAAAUUUUAGAUGAUACUAGCAAUGCAGAAAAUACUUAGCUAACGGGGUGAAUGUUUCCAAAUGAUAUGUAAUGAAGUACCAAUGGAUUAUGGUGAAUUUAUGUUUUGUUAUAAUGGCCAAAUCCUCACUUCUCUCCCAUCAUUACUUCAGUAUCUACAUAAUUUUUAGUUCUUUCAGGCCCUGAAAUGUAUCAUUAAUAUUUUAAGUUUGCUUUGACUUCUUAAAGGAUGCCUAAGAAGGCACCUGUCUUUUUUUUUUUGUCAUAUUGCUGGUAGAAGUCAAUAUCCAUAAUUUCUGUUACAAUGGUAGGAGUCACUUUCUAUCCCCCACAAAUGGUAGGAAAAUAAACCUUUAAGAAAACAAUAAUGCUGCUUGAUAUUGUUGGUUUUCAUGUGUAACAGAUUGAUUUAGAAACUAAAGGCAGGGAGGUAGCCAAAUGAUGAAAGAUCUAGAUGAGAGCAGCAUUUUCUAAUGAAAACUUGCAGUUAGGCUCAACAUGUAAAUAGCAGCAGUGUGCUAUUAUUAUUCAUCCUAAUAAACUUCUUUGCAUAAAGAUUAUUUAUCAUUUGCAGUUUAAGUUGCAGGUUGUUAUCUGGUGUAAACUUUGACUGACUAAUCU